This 200-nucleotide long non-coding RNA is filed under the name Elaeis guineensis (African oil palm). RNAcentral's name for it is "long non-coding RNA (EGUI_LNC025949)". Lineage: Eukaryota; Viridiplantae; Streptophyta; Magnoliopsida; Arecales; Arecaceae. The record is from RNAcentral.
GUUAAUGGCUGUGCAAACAAUGAUGUGGUAGGAUAUCAUGACUGAUCAAUGAUAAUAUGGCUGGAUGAUAUGUCUUAUCCAUGCUAGUAUAAUAGAUGACAUGUCGAUUGUUAUGGCUGCUUUAGAUGACAUGGUUAUAAGAAGACACGUAGAAGAUGGUUGUUGCAGCGAGAUUUGGCACUCAGAGAGAAGAUAGCUGA